This 895-nucleotide ribosomal RNA is filed under the name bacterium enrichment culture. RNAcentral describes it as "bacterial SSU rRNA". It matches the Rfam family "Bacterial small subunit ribosomal RNA", at positions 78 to 956 of the family's 1533-position model. The record is from RNAcentral.
AGCAAUCCCCCGGUAGGGUGGCGAACGGGUGAGUAAGACAUGGGAAUCUGUCCCGGAGAUGGGGAUAUCCUUCCGAAAGGAGGGUUAAUACCGAAUACCGUCCGGUGGACGAGAGUCCAUCGGGGAAAGGGAGGCCUCUGGCAACAUGCUUCCGCUCCGGGAGGAGCCCAUGGCCCAUCAGCUAGUUGGGAGGGUAACAGCCUACCAAGGCGAAGACGGGUAGCUGGUCUGAGAGGACGAUCAGCCACACUGGCACUGAGACACGGGCCAGACUCCUACGGGAGGCAGCAGUGAGGAAUUUUGCGCAAUGGGGGCAACCCUGACGCAGCAACGCCGCGUGUGGGAAGAAGGCUUUCGGGUUGUAAACCACUUUUGUAAGGGACGAAGUCCCUUCGGCAAAUAACCGAGGGGGAUGACGGUACCUUGCGAAUAAGCCACGGCUAACUCUGUGCCAGCAGCCGCGGUAAGACAGGGGUGGCAAGCGUUGUUCGGAGUAACUGGGCGUAAAGGGUCUGUAGGUGGUUUUUCAAGUCUUUGGUAAAACGCCGUGGCUCAACCAUGGUUUGGCCAAGGAGACUGGGAGACUCGAGGCUGGGAGAGGGAAGCGGAAUUUCUGGUGUAGCGGUGAAAUGCGUAGAGAUCAGAAAGAAGGCCGGUGGCGAAGGCGGCUUCCUGGAACAGACCUGACACUGAGAGACGAAAGCGUGGGGAGCAAACAGGAUUAGAUACCCUGGUAGUCCACGCCCUAAACGAUGGGAACUAAGUGUGGGGAGCAAUCCCCGUGCCGCAGCUAACGCAAUAAGUUCCCCGCCUGGGGAGCACGGCCGCAAGGUUGAAACUCAAAGGAAUUGACGGGGGCCCGCACAAGCGGUGGUGCAUGUGGUUUAAUUCGACG